RNAcentral lists this ribosomal RNA (292 nucleotides) under uncultured bacterium. RNAcentral describes it as "partial 16S ribosomal RNA". It matches the Rfam family "Bacterial small subunit ribosomal RNA", at positions 505 to 796 of the family's 1533-position model. The record is from RNAcentral.
GUGUCAGCAGCCGCGGUAAUACGUAGGGACCAAGCGUUGUUCGGAUUUACUGGGCGUAAAGGGCGCGUAGGCGGCGCGGUAAGUCACUUGUGAAAUCUCUGAGCUUAACUCAGAACGGCCAAGUGAUACUGCAGUGCUAGAGUGUGGAAGGGGCAAUCGGAAUUCUUGGUGUAGCGGUGAAAUGCGUAGAUAUCAAGAGGAACACCUGAGGUGAAGACGGGUUGCUGGGCCAACACUGACGCUGAGGCGCGAAAGCCAGGGGAGCAAACGGGAUUAGAAACCCUCGUAGUCC